RNAcentral lists this unclassified non-coding RNA (4478 nucleotides) under Citrus tristeza virus. The stretch from base 4206 to 4477 matches the Rfam family "Citrus tristeza virus replication signal". The record is from RNAcentral. Lineage: Riboviria; Orthornavirae; Kitrinoviricota; Alsuviricetes; Martellivirales; Closteroviridae.
CAAAUUCACCCGUACCCUCCGGAAAUCACGUCCGGACGCUGCGGGAAUCGGUGUAAAUCCCGGCAAAUUGCCCACUACGCCCAUACAAACAAAUAUACAUGUCGAAACUCGGAGCUCGCUUCAAGUCCUCGACUUUCGCUGUACGCAGGCAUUACAUCAUCUCGCGCAUCUGGCGCUUUAACACCGUUGGAGUCCUGCACUUCUUCGGUACUGAAACAACCACCAAGGUGGUUAAGGAAUUUUCGGCUCCUCAGCCGAUAGUCCCUCUACGGAAAUCCUGUUUUGCGUUUUCUGUUCGCGCUGCUGUUCGCGCGAUUAAAGCUGCCGGACGUCCCAUUGACCGUCCGCGCUCUGGAUGCCUCUGUGGCCUCCCUGUUAUCGACACAUCUGGUGUCGUACGUGCCUCUGUCGCGGGCAUUUGGAGGUAUUCUCUGUGUAAACCUCCCCUUACUGCCGCCGCCAAGAAGUCCAUUGCCAAGGCGAAGAAAGAUUCUGCUUUCUUUCUUAGCCGGGCUUCUUCACUCUUCUCACGGGAAGUCCCCUGCGGCACGCGUCAUAGACUUCGUAGGCGCGUUAUGAAACGAGUAGACCCUACCAUGCACGAGAGUCCCCAAGACGAGAUCAAACUUAAGGGACGCCGACAUGGCAAGAAUUCUUACCUCCCGUAUAUGGGGGAAGCGGCGUUGGAUGAUAUCCUUCGCUGGAUUGAGGGGGUAAAUCCCCCGCCGUCGAUGGUCGCCAUUCCGGUGCCCAUCUCUUUCGGCGCCGUGCCCACAACGGCAUGGUGCUCUCCUGCUGACGCGGCUGUUUUGCGGUGUCGUUUAGACUACCACGCCGCUGAGACUUCCUUUCGUGACGAAAGGAAGCACGUGAGAUACGUCUAUAAUGACGUGUCUUCUGCUGCCAACCGUCCUCGUACGGUUUCUGCCAAGAGCGGGCAUGUUUUCAGCGGUUCUGCGCUGGGUGUUGAGGUCCCGAGCACUAGGGAUCGCCAUACCGCUUUCGUGAGAUCUACUCACGGUAGCGUUUUCUUCUCCCGGAGUUCGCCGGUUCGCAUGUUCCGUCCUGGGCGGAAUAAUUUCUUCACUAGCGUCGUUAGUGGGCGGCGCGUUAGUUACUUUAGACCCGGACCUAAUGGUACGGUGUCUGUUUUAAUGUCGGACGGUGUCAACACGGCGCGUCUCGACGUUGUGCCUCCUGGCUACCAUGCGUACGCUAAAGCGUUAGGCGCCAAAGUGCCGUGUUUGUGGGAGUCGUCCGAUUUGGACGAUGCUAAGAUACGUGACGGCCAGUGCUACGUUCGUCACGUAUACGACGUGGCCCUUUACUUCGGAAGGCGCGUCGAUCUUUCUGUGCGCCGAACUUUGGGUUUGUUUCCCACAGUGGGUGCACUAAAAGCUUAUCUUCUUCGCGAGUACGGUCGCAACUCUUUGAAGGUUCCGAUGCGCGGGACUUACACUUUUGGCAGUGUGUUUCAUUGCCUGUCGACUAAAUCUUUUGUCGACUUGAGAUCUAUUCCUAACCAUCACUUGGUUGGUGGUGCGUCUGCUCACGUGUUUAUUGGGCAGAUUCGUGUUGACGUUCCUGGUGGUGUCUCUAAGCCAUCACGAGCAGCUGCGCAGGCGAAUAGGCGUUUGCGUGAAGACGGGUUUUUAGGUAGUACCGAUUCGUCUUCUUCAGGAGGGUCGAGAUACUGUUCGGAUUGUUCAACUCCUCGCAGUCCACCCUCUCCGUCGAUUGUUGGACCAACUCUUGGCCGGAUACCAAGUAUAAACCGGAAGUUCCGGUUUCCAGCAGGCACUCAGUUGAGUGUUUCUAUCCCUAAACGCAAUGAUGAUCGCGUGUAUGUAUCGGUCGGCCAAGACUUUGAUGAGUUGUGCCAUGCCGUGUGUACCUACGUUAAGAGGUACAACUCGAGAAAAGCAUUUUACACGCGGUUUGAAAAUCGUGAUGAUUUCGCCGUCAUUGCUGCGGCUUCCGUCGGAGGUCUUCACGUGUUCGUGAAACGCGGUAACUUUACGGCUCGGUUCCCUAUGUCGGCUUCAAGGUAUGAGCAUCAUUAUGAUCGAAGUAUGAAAGGCGCCGGUUUGUCGUGGGUGCGGAAGAGUCGGUUUCCGAAUGUUGAAGUUAUACGCCGUCGAAGGAGUCGGACGGGCGGUUCUUUGGCUAGCUUUCCGGACGCGAAUUUACGGAUUAAUUCUGACCAACCGUCGGAUUCUGUUCAGGCAGUUCCGGUGUCAGGUGAGAAUUCUCCAUCGUCUCGAGGAGCGUCUUCGCCCCGACGUGAUCCUGUUGAAGGGUCGGGCUGGUAUAAGGUGGGUUCUCCUAGUCAUCACUCGAGUGCCGCUCGUGGGCAACGUUCCACUGAACGUGGGAAGAUUGGGGAUUUCAGUUUUCCGAGUAGCACCGUGUAUAAUGCACAUGUAGACGAGCGUGCUUAUAAGCGUGUGUUGAAAUUGCGGGACACGUCGGCGUCCUCUUUUCUUCGUAUAGUUUUGGCUCGUUUGUCGAGUUAUCGGCCUCUUAGUGACGAGUUCUUUAACAAGUGCGUUACUUCUCGGUUCGUAGCUUGUAUCGAGGCGGUUGAAUCGGGUCUCGUUACAGUACACUUUCGAUCCGACGUGUUUCGCGCCUCGUUCCCGUUUGGAGUUUAUUUGUAUACUCGUCACGCGUUUGAUAUUUACAGUGGUAAGCUCCUGCAACUAGAUAGCUACGGGUUCUCGGAAGACCUGAAGGACGGUUACUGCUAUAUUCGUCAUAUCGCUGAGGUCUGUUUGAGUAUGGGAAAAGUUUUCUUUAGGAGGGACGUCAACUUAGGGGCGUUCCCUUAUGUUUUCGAGGUACAGCACCGUCUUGAGCGGUUGUACGGUAAGCGGGCUGUUGAAUACGGCGUUAGAGGAUAUUUUUCAGCAACGCGUCUUUACCACUGUUGCUUUACCGAUUCGCCGAGACCCUUCAAAUCUUUAAAUAAGUGUCAUAAGAUGGGUGGUGAAGAAGGUGCGUUAUUAAUCACUGACACUGAUAGAUUACGUGCCGUGGGGAGUGCUUACGAAAAGGUGAAGGGGCGUUUGCCUGAUUCUUUACUUGUUCGAUCGGUGGAGAAAGAUUUGAUAGAAUUCAAUCAAACUCUGGUUGAUACGCAACGGGCUAGACCUGGUGUUGCAGUACCUUUUCAGAUGAGUGAGAACCAACAGGUGAUGCUCACUAGAGCUUAUCCUGAGUUUAAUAUAAACUUUACUCAUUCCGUACACUCCGAUCACCCCGUGGCAGCGGGUUCUAGAAUGUUAGAGAAUCACCUUGUUCGUAAAUACGCAGGUAGCGAUUAUUCGAACGUAGGUGGUUGCCCAUUAUUUCAUUUACGUGCGGGUCAUACAGGAGUUCACGUUUGCAGACCAGUGUACGAUAUUAAAGACGCCCACCGUAGAGUCGUUCGUCAUCAUCAACUUAGUAAAGUAGCUUUUGAUCACACUGACGGGUCUAAGCAGGAAGGUGCUGUCAAUACGAACACCGUGUGUGGUAACGUUUUAGGGGAGUGUUUUCAUGCGUCUGAUGCGAUUGUUAUGGUGCAAGUUUAUGACGUGCCAUUGCGAGAGUUGUGUAGAGCUAUGGUGAACAAGAAAGCUUCGGUGUGCUAUAUGACCGUGGUUACGCCUGGUGAGCUGUUGGACGCCCGUGAGUCCUUCUUCAUCAAAGAGUUAGACUGUUCGGUGGAGUUGGACCGGUCGCCGAAUAGGGUUAUCUACUGUUUUAACAAUUCACGGUAUACGCAUACCUAUUCUACGAUAUGCGAAUACAUGCGUACUCCUUGUGUGGUGGUGGAUGGUUUUCUGUUCACUAUAGAGAUGGUUUCACUCAGAUGCAGCGUUAACUAUUAUUGUAUCACCAAGUCGCGGGUUUGUCCGAGAAUCAGCGAGAUUAAACGGUUACGCUAUCGUCGGUGUGAUAGUGACUUGAUCAGGAUCAAGAUUCCUCGGUACUCUAAUAAGACUCGUAGUUGUUUACCAGGGGGUUAUUAUUUGUAUUUAGACGCUAAGUUGCGUUCUCCGGAGGAAACUCCGGAACAUUAUAAGUUCGGUAUGACUGCUAAGGCAAUGUUACCGAACAUCAACGCUAUAGACGUUGGUGAUAACGAAGACACUUCGUCGGAAUACCCAGUGAGUCUGAGUGAAACAGGCGGAGUUCUCCGUGAACACCACUUCAUCUGAUUGAAGUGGACGGAAUAAUUGCCUUGCGGAACUUUAUGUCGGGUUGGUAAAAACCCUUAUGAUGGUGAUGUAUCACUAGACAAUAACCGGAUGGGUAAAGUCUUUAAAAUGAUCGAGGGGAAAAUUAACCAUAUCCUCUCGUUGGUCUAAGCUCCCACAGAGUGUAGUGGUCUCAAGUGAGGCUUAACGUAUGCGUGAACCAAAGAAGUUCUCCUUAGAGUGUGUGUUGUUUACCCAACACACUGUCCCUAUGGGGGGCCAACAUAGGUCCAU